This is a non-coding RNA of Lolium perenne, 545 nucleotides long. The record is from RefSeq and is a predicted model, not a curated record. Lineage: Eukaryota; Viridiplantae; Streptophyta; Magnoliopsida; Poales; Poaceae.
AAACUGAGUAGUUACUACACUAUCAACUGAAGGUUUAGAGGUGGGGCAGUGUGUUGUUGUUAUAGGGUGAAGUAGUGACAUUUUUUAGAAUAUGCAGUGUGUUGUUAGUUACUGCCAGUUUAUAAUGAUUUAUGGAUGUUUACAUAAUAUCAAUGACAUUGCAUUUUUAUCACUGCAUUUUUCUCUUUGCCCGUGUGUGUAGGAUAUGCGGCGGCGAGGUGGAGCAAAGGUAGCAGCGGCCGUGGCGCCGGCUCCCUGGAUCGAUUUGCGGCGACGGGUGGGCGGUUCAGUCUAGCCGGCGCCUACCGCAUCUGCACCAAGAUGCUGAAGGCCACCAGGAGGACACCGUCGAGCCCGGGCCAGGCUGCUUGCUGCUUCCCACAACCUAGUGGCACAUCAAUUAAUGGAGGAGCGCAAAGAGAGGUUCUGACGAUCUACCUGAGUUUUGGGCUUGGCUGAUGAAGAUGGUGGCCGGAAUUUUGAAUCUUGAAACUAGCUAAAUUUGUAACAGAUAGAAUAUAUAUGAGUUUAUUUGUAAUUUGUAA